UAAUGAUAUUAAGUUUAGUCAUAUUAAUAUAAUGUACAUAUACAUCAUAUAGACUAUAGUUUUGCGGGAACUUGUAGAAGGCGGCUCAAAGAUAAAGUCCGCCUUUGAACAGUUGUUCAUGGUGCAUGUUUAAAAUGAAAUGAUUAAGAGCCAUUGGGUCGACUAGAAUCUAAUAGUGAAAACGCCAGAUAUCGUGCUCUGAUCUCCAUGGUCGCCAAUGAUCGCCAAAUCACAGCGUUUGUUUUGAGCAUGUUAAAAACCAACGCCAAGGUUCUGACAGUAAGGACGCCAUCCCGAUCUGACUGGGGCAUAAUACAGGUUUAUCAAUCGGAACAAAAGCGGCUUUCCCGUAUAAAUCAUACAGGGAAGGGAGAGUGGCCAUUGAUGGACUACCGAAAGACUUAGCACCGUUAAAACCGCCAUCCCAGUAUGGUUUAAAAAAACUAAAAACUAUUUGAUCUCUUAAUGCCUUGAAUGUAAGAAUUACAAUUGAUGACUUACAAACCGCUACCGUCACAGUUUCCACCUUAUUUGGAGUGAGUAGUAAUCCGUUACUUAGAUACUGUCCUAACAUCUUGUUUGACCUUUAGUCACUUUUUCUUACAUCUCCAUCUUGGAUGCAUCAUUUUCUGAAUUCACUAACUCAGUGUUUCGCUCUUUUCAUAUGAUAUAUGGUUUCCACAAUAUUAGUUUUCUAUUUCCUCGAAUAAUAAGAGCACCCUUAUCAGGUGCCCGUCUUCAUUAGCCCAGUAUAGGAGCAGAACAGUAGGACGUUAAAACCCAUUUCAUUUCAUUUCAUUUAUUUCAGUGCUCUUCUACUUGCUCUAUUGUAAAUAAUUUCCUGUUUUGUUCCUGUGUGUAUUGUAAAUAAACUGUAUAGCUGUGUUCUUGUUUUGUCUCGUUUGGCUCAACCCACAACCUGGAAAGGUGGAUAGUCCGUCGUCCAUUGAUCCCGCUACAAGUGGAUCCUCUGCAUCAAGCCAAGACACGCCAGUGAAAUCAAGGGCGAAAUUAAAUACUUCAAGUACAGAGAAAAUAAUCAUUUUAGGUACGUCAGAUAGUAUAUUUGUUAAUCAUCAACAACUUAAUGAAAUUGUUUCCAAAGCAGUGCAAGAGGCUGUCGAGAAAAUUGAAACCAAUCUAAAUAAACUUAUAGGCGAGAGGUUUGAUGAACUGGGUGACAGAGUGGCAAAUAUUGAGCUUGCAAAUGAAACUGUAAGUCUGGAAUUUGAUCAUUUUGACGAUAGAAUAAAAAACACCGAGGCUUUGUUAAAAGUCAACGAUUCUGAAAUAAAAAACUUACAAUUAAAACUAAAUCAUCUUGAACAAUAUAGUCGAAAAUCUCAUUUGAGAAUUUUUGGUAUAGAAGAACAUGAGGGUGAAAACUGUGUGUCUGUCGUAACUAGACUAUUUAAAGAUAAACUGGAUAUUCAAUCUGAAAUCAUUAUCGAUGCCGCACAUAGGGUUGGUUCCUCAUACAACGGGGGGUUGGAUGGCUGAAUGGUUAGCGUGCGCGCGCUGUAUCAUAAAGUAUGUCAUUGAGUCGACUGGCGUGGUUUCGAAUCCCCGGUUGUACGUGACAAGGAGUAGGGUCGCCUGUCCAACCUCGUGGGUUUUCUCCGGGUCCUCCGGUUUCCUCCCACUGCUAAAGACCCCUAUGCGCAAGCGAAUUAUUGAAAUAAAAUAAAACCAUAUUAUGUUAGUCCCGAAAUGACCUAGUUUGUGUCGAGUGGACGUUAAACCCCAUUUCUCUCUCUCUCUCUCUCCUCAUACAACACUUCUUUCAUGGGUGAGACCAGGCAGAAACCGAGAGAGGCAUAAUUGUUAGGCUGCUAAGAAGCACUGAUAAAAGCAAAGUCAUCAUAGCACGGAAAAAAUUUAAAAAUUCUUUAAUAGCAUUGUAGAUGAUAUGACUAAAACAAAUAUUCGUCUGCUAGAAGAGGCCAAACGACAUCACAGUGUGAAAAGUGCAUGGCUAACAAAUGGAAAAUUGUUUGUAGAAACAAUUAACAAUAUAAAAUGUAGAAUUGAAGAUGUAUCUGACAUAGAUAAGAAAAUUAAACCUUAAAUUAUGUUUUAAAAAUAUUGUGAUAAUAACUUUAGUUUCCUGAUUCAGUUGU
This is a long non-coding RNA of Patella vulgata (common limpet), 2120 nucleotides long. RefSeq lists it as uncharacterized. Lineage: Eukaryota; Metazoa; Mollusca; Gastropoda; Patellidae. The record is from RefSeq and is a predicted model, not a curated record. The transcript has 6 exons.